RNAcentral lists this signal recognition particle RNA (300 nucleotides) under Saimiri boliviensis boliviensis (Bolivian squirrel monkey). Its description in RNAcentral is "Metazoan signal recognition particle RNA (ENSSBOG00000015615.1)". It matches the Rfam family "Metazoan signal recognition particle RNA". From Rfam's summary of the family: The signal recognition particle (SRP) is a universally conserved ribonucleoprotein. The record is from RNAcentral. Lineage: Eukaryota; Metazoa; Chordata; Mammalia; Primates; Cebidae.
GCUGGGCGCAGUGGCGCAUGCCUGUAGUUCCAGCUACUCGGGAGGCUGAGGUGGGAGGAUCGCUUGAGCCCAGGAGUUCUGGGCUAUAAGUGCACUAUGUUGAUCAGGUGUCUGCACUAAGUUCGGCAUCAUUAUGGUGACCUCCCAGAAGCGGGGUACCACCAGGUUGCCUAAGGAGAGGUGAACCGGCCUAGGUCAGAAAUGGAGCAGGUCAAAACUCCCAUGCCGAUCAGUAGUGGGAUCGUGCCUGUGAAUAGCCACUGCACUCCACCCUGGGCAACACAGCAAGACCCUGUCUUU